RNAcentral lists this small RNA (117 nucleotides) under Callithrix jacchus (white-tufted-ear marmoset). Its description in RNAcentral is "Metazoan signal recognition particle RNA (ENSCJAG00000075798.1)". Lineage: Eukaryota; Metazoa; Chordata; Mammalia; Primates; Cebidae. The record is from Rfam by way of RNAcentral.
GCUGGGUGUGGUGUCGCACGCCUGUAAUUCCAGUACUUUGGGAGGCCGAGGUGGGUGGAUCACCUGAGGUCGGGAGUUUGAGACCAGCCUGGCCAACAUGGUGAAACCCCAUCUCUA